RNAcentral lists this ribosomal RNA (486 nucleotides) under uncultured bacterium. RNAcentral describes it as "bacterial SSU rRNA". It matches the Rfam family "Bacterial small subunit ribosomal RNA", at positions 30 to 504 of the family's 1533-position model. The record is from RNAcentral.
CGAACGCUGGCGGCGUGCUUAACACAUGCAAGUCGAACGCGAACGGUUUUCUUCGGAGGACCUAGUAGAGUGGCGCACGGGUGAGUAACGCGUAAGUAAUCUACCCUGGCAUCUGGGAUAACUCAGCGAAAGCUGUGCUAAUACCGGAUACGCUGGAGACAGGAAAGGUGGCCUCUUCAUGAAAGCUACUGUGCCGGGAUGAGCUUGCGUACCAUUAGCUAGUUGGUGGGGUAAUGGCCUACCAAGGCGACGAUGGUUAGCGGGUCUGAGAGGAUGAUCCGCCACACUGGAACUGGAACACGGACCAGACUCCUACGGGAGGCAGCAGUGAGGAAUAUUGCGCAAUGGGGGAAACCCUGACGCAGCGACGCCGCGUGGAUGAUGAAGGCUUUCGGGUCGUAAAAUCCUGUCAGAUGGGAAGAAGUGUUAUAUGUUUAAUAUGCAUAUAAUUUGACGGUACCAUCAAAGGAAGCACCGGCUAACUCC